UGGGGAAUAUUGGACAAUGGGCGCAAGCCUGAUCCAGCCAUGCCGCGUGGGUGAUGAAGGCCCUAGGGUUGUAAAGCUCUUUUGUGCGGGAAGAUAAUGACUGUACCGCAAGAAUAAGCCCCGGCUAACUUCGUGCCAGCAGCCGCGGUAAUACGAAGGGGGCUAGCGUUGCUCGGAAUCACUGGGCGUAAAGGGUGCGUAGGCGGGUCUUUAAGUCAGGGGUGAAAUCCUGGAGCUCAACUCCAGCACUGCCUUUGAUACUGAGGAUCUUGAGUUCGGGAGAGGUGAGUGGAACUGCGAGUGUAGAGGUGAAAUUCGUAGAUAUUCGCAAGAACACCAGUGGCGAAGGCGGCUCUCUGGCCCGAUACUGACGCUGAGGCACGAAAGCGUGGGGAGCUAACA
RNAcentral lists this ribosomal RNA (402 nucleotides) under uncultured bacterium. RNAcentral describes it as "bacterial SSU rRNA". It matches the Rfam family "Bacterial small subunit ribosomal RNA", at positions 355 to 774 of the family's 1533-position model. The record is from RNAcentral.